RNAcentral lists this ribosomal RNA (603 nucleotides) under uncultured bacterium. RNAcentral's name for it is "bacterial SSU rRNA". The stretch from base 1 to 511 matches the Rfam family "Bacterial small subunit ribosomal RNA", at positions 338 to 873 of the family's 1533-position model. The record is from RNAcentral.
CCUACGGGAGGCAGCAGUGGGGAAUAUUGCACAAUGGGCGCAAGCCUGAUGCAGCGACGCCGCGUGAGGGAUGACGGCCUUCGGGUUGUAAACCUCUUUCAGUAGGGAAGAAGCGAAAGUGACGGUACCUGCAGAAGAAGCGCCGGCUAACUACGUGCCAGCAGCCGCGGUAAUACGUAGGGCGCAAGCGUUAUCCGGAAUUAUUGGGCGUAAAGAGCUCGUAGGCGGUUUGUCGCGUCUGCCGUGAAAGUCCGGGGCUCAACUCCGGAUCUGCGGUGGGUACGGGCAGACUAGAGUGAUGUAGGGGAGACUGGAAUUCCUGGUGUAGCGGUGAAAUGCGCAGAUAUCAGGAGGAACACCGAUGGCGAAGGCAGGUCUCUGGGCAUUAACUGACGCUGAGGAGCGAAAGCAUGGGGAGCGAGCAGAUAGAUACCUGUAGUCAUGACGUAACGUAGGCGACUAGUGUGGGACGAUCUACGUUCCGUCGCCGUCGCUACGCAUAGUGCCCGCCGUCGGGAGGACGGCCGCGAAGGACGUAAACGUUACGAAGUAGAAGUUAGUACGGCGUUGAGACGNGCCGACGGACGACGACGAGGGAGGAGG